UGGGAUGGGUGACCUCCCGGGAAGUCCCGGUGCUGCACCCUC
Molecule: ribosomal RNA, 42 nt
Filed under: Anthoceros agrestis
Lineage: Eukaryota; Viridiplantae; Streptophyta; Anthocerotopsida; Anthocerotales; Anthocerotaceae
Source: RNAcentral